RNAcentral lists this long non-coding RNA (666 nucleotides) under Phoenix dactylifera (date palm). RNAcentral's name for it is "long non-coding RNA (PDAC_LNC007967)". Lineage: Eukaryota; Viridiplantae; Streptophyta; Magnoliopsida; Arecales; Arecaceae. The record is from RNAcentral.
GGGAAGCCAGCUAAGUUGCUGAUCGACUUUCGGAAGAGGGUCUAUCCUCAAGUUUUGGAUUCUGGGCCAAUAACUUUCCUUGGCUCAUGACGGAACUCAGACAAACAUUAGAAAAUAUUUAGAAUAGAUGUCAUGCUGUUUAUAUCCUAUAGUGAUUCACCCUUCUAACAAUUCCAUUAUAUUUUGUUUUUGGGGCUCCAAGUUCCUAAAGUCCUUUUGAAUUUGUAAAUCAAAUUAGUGCCGUAUCACCAAUAGAUAAUUGAAAAAAGAUUAAUUGGAAAGUCACUUCCUCCAAAUUACCAAAAGCUAAAUGCAUAAUAUUUUUCCAAUACAAAAGUUAGAUCAAUUGAGGGACCCUAAACUGUGCAACACACAGCCCCGACCCAGCCCAUGCUUCUCUUUAGCAUCUGAAAUAGAACGGCAAUAGAAAGAAUAAUAAGCUAACAGCCUAGAAAGUUAUCUCUACAUCUCUAAUUGCAUUAAACAUAUAACAUAUAUGUAUGUGUGUAUAGAUAUCAUUAUAAAUUGUAGUAAAAAGUAAUUUUGCAAUUUUCAAGAAGAAAUUCCACAAUUGGCAUGUAGAUGUUAAACAACUUAGUAAUUCAUCUUUCAAAAUGUUAGUAUAAAAAUUAGAUUUAAUGUAACACCAUUUAUAACACCAUCAAA